This is a long non-coding RNA of Homo sapiens (human), 1026 nucleotides long. Lineage: Eukaryota; Metazoa; Chordata; Mammalia; Primates; Hominidae. The record is from Ensembl.
GCCUCAGCCAACACUACAUCAGAGGCACAUUGUGGAUGGAGGAAAUGAGUUUAGUCAAGCCAGCUGUGACUUCAAAGGGGCUGCUCUCCCAGAGAACAGUGAGAAAGGGUUCCCCCUUCAGUGAAGACUGCAAAGUUCAGCCAGCGCCAACCCAAAGGGAAUGGACUCCAGGAAGGGGCAAAUUACAUUCAACAUACAAGAAAGAAUAUUUUCCUUCAUGAAGUGGCUGUGACAGUCUGAAGAGGAAGGAAAAUGACAAAAAAGAAAGAAAACUACACAUUUCUUUCAAAUUACUUACUUCACACAAAUUUACUGAGGAACAAUAGGGUGGACCCUGCAUAUUCGAAGACAAGAUCGUCUGUGUUCCAGUUCAAAAGAAGAAGCUAGACACAUAAACUGAAGAUUAUGGUAUUGAGUGAUAAGCCUUGGAGCAGGAAUCCCAAAGUGUGAUCACAUGACCAGCAGCAGCAACAUCACCUGGGAACUUGUUAGAAAUGCAAAUUUGCAGGCCCUAAUCCAAAUCUACUGAAUAAGAAAGUUGAGGUUGAUUUAACAAGCCCUUCAAGUGAUUCAAUGCUUGCUAAAACUGGAGAACCACCUUGAUAGUGAAGGGACAAAAGGACUUUUGUGCAGAGAGCUAACACAUCUGAACUAACCUUGAGAUCCUCUGCCAUCUAUAAAUCACUUCUCAAUCUCUUCCCGAUAAGAUUCUAAAUAGGUGGCUCUCUGGCAAUUCAAGGGAUGAUACACGCGUGUGUGUCUUCUCUCUUUAUGUAAGUUAUAAGAUCUGAAUGACAGAGGCACAUUCUUCUUUUAUGUUUUCUUUCCUUUCUCCUCCUAUUUUUAGGGCCAGUACGUGGAAAAUGCGGAAAUUGGAACUUACUAUAAGUAACUAAUUCAGAAAUCAGGCUGGCAGAAGUGUUAUACAUUCACUGGAAGAAAUUGGUGAAUAUAUGGAAAACAUAAAUGUUAUGUAUCCUGGAACUUAAAAUAAAAAUUAAUAAUAAAAAAUGUUAUCUCUCCCAA